AGUGAACGCUGGCGGUAGGCCUAACACAUGCAAGUCGAACGGCAGCACAGUAAGAGCUUGCUCUUACGGGUGGCGAGUGGCGGACGGGUGAGGAAUACAUCGGAAUCUACUUUUUCGUGGGGGAUAACGUAGGGAAACUUACGCUAAUACCGCAUACGACCUUCGGGUGAAAGCAGGGGAUCUUCGGACCUUGCGCGAAUGAAUGAGCCGAUGUCGGAUUAGCUAGUUGGCGGGGUAAAGGCCCACCAAGGCGACGAUCCGUAGCUGGUCUGAGAGGAUGAUCAGCCACACUGGAACUGAGACACGGUCCAGACUCCUACGGGAGGCAGCAGUGGGGAAUAUUGGACAAUGGGCGCAAGCCUGAUCCAGCCAUACCGCGUGGGUGAAGAAGGCCUUCGGGUUGUAAAGCCCUUUUGUUGGGAAAGAAAAGCAGCAGGUUAAUACCCCGCUGUUCUGACGGUACCCAAAGAAUAAGCACCGGCUAACUUCGUG
This 492-nucleotide ribosomal RNA is filed under the name uncultured bacterium. RNAcentral's name for it is "partial 16S ribosomal RNA". It matches the Rfam family "Bacterial small subunit ribosomal RNA", at positions 29 to 507 of the family's 1533-position model. The record is from RNAcentral.